Molecule: ribosomal RNA, 55 nt
Filed under: uncultured fungus
Lineage: Eukaryota; Fungi
Description: partial 5.8S ribosomal RNA
Rfam family: 5.8S ribosomal RNA
About the family: 5.8S ribosomal RNA (5.8S rRNA) is a component of the large subunit of the eukaryotic ribosome. It is transcribed by RNA polymerase I as part of the 45S precursor that also contains 18S and 28S rRNA.
Source: RNAcentral
GAACGCACAUUGCGCCCCUUGGUAUCCCGAGGGGCAUGCCUGUUCGAGCGUCAUU